AUAUACGACCAUACCUAUAAGAAAACUCUAGAUCCCGUCCGCUCUCCCAAAAAUAGAUCUAUGAGGGCCGGAUGCGUAGUUGGCACGGUGAAGACCAGCCAAUACCUAGCGUUGUAUGCU
Molecule: ribosomal RNA, 120 nt
Filed under: Colletotrichum fioriniae PJ7
Lineage: Eukaryota; Fungi; Ascomycota; Sordariomycetes; Glomerellales; Glomerellaceae
Source: RNAcentral